GCAGACACAUUUCAGCCAAUCAGCAGCAGACCCUCCCUCCCAGACCUUCCCACCUCCUGGACUGCAUCCAUUGUGAAGCUGCAUUCUUAGUGAGCUGUCCAGGAGGUGGGAGGGUCUGGGAGGGAGGGUCUGCUGCUGAUUGGCUGGAAUGUGUCU
RNAcentral lists this microRNA precursor (156 nucleotides) under Pelobates cultripes (western spadefoot toad). The record is from RNAcentral. Lineage: Eukaryota; Metazoa; Chordata; Amphibia; Anura; Pelobatidae.